Long non-coding RNA from Lemur catta (Ring-tailed lemur), 336 nucleotides. RefSeq lists it as uncharacterized. The transcript has 3 exons. Lineage: Eukaryota; Metazoa; Chordata; Mammalia; Primates; Lemuridae. The record is from RefSeq and is a predicted model, not a curated record.
AGCAUCGGGACUCUCCCAGCCGGACGCGGUGAAAUGCCUUAACUUACCAGUCCGACGCCUGGGUUUCCUCCGUCUCUGUGGGCUCUGGUUGAGCAGAUGGCAAAGGUUAUCGUCCCUUUUGGCUUUCCAAAUGUCAGAUCGAUGUUUAUUCAGUGCAUCUGUGGGUGAAGGGAGUAUCAAGAACUUCCUAUUUUGACAUGUUGCUGACAUCACUCCUCUGAUGACUGUCUUUAAUACUGAAAUUUGGGUGAGGAGGCACUCAUAUGGAAUACAGAAAAUGCAGGCAAUCAUGAAAGAUUUUAUGCAACAGAACUCAGUGGGACACCUGGGACUCUU